GACAAAUGUGUGUGGCAGCAGUUAUAGAUGUGGGUCUAGAAUUAAGCUUCCUGGAUUCAUAUCUGACCUCUGCCGAUUACUAGCUCUGUAACCUUGAACCACUUGAUGAACUUCUUAUGGCUUUGUUUCUUAAUGCAUAAAAUGAAGAUGAUAAGUACAGUGCUAAGUUCAUAUGGUUGUUGUGAGAGAGAGCGCAAUAAAUGAAAUAAAGUAAUAAACACCUGAAUGGAAACUGAAAUACAUCCUUGAGUUUAAAUGAAGAAGAUGGCAGUAAUCCAUAUUUAGUAGGUGGAGAAACUGAGGAAUUGAAGAUUUAAUCACUCAAGGAGCCAGACUUACGGAUGGUAUAUUCCCAUGCUUUCAUGAUUGCUGCAGGAGAAGAAAAGCUGCUCUGGUGAUUAAGUGUUCCUGUCUGGAAGUGACAUAUGUCCUUCUACUCAGACUUCAUUAGUUA
Non-coding RNA from Macaca mulatta (Rhesus monkey), 454 nucleotides. The record is from RefSeq and is a predicted model, not a curated record. Lineage: Eukaryota; Metazoa; Chordata; Mammalia; Primates; Cercopithecidae.